Molecule: ribosomal RNA, 403 nt
Filed under: uncultured bacterium
Lineage: Bacteria
Description: partial 16S ribosomal RNA
Rfam family: Bacterial small subunit ribosomal RNA
Source: RNAcentral
GACGAACGCUGGCGGCGUGCCUAAUACAUGCAAGUCGAACGCAGUGGGGACGGGUGAGGAACACGUGGCUAACCUCCCAUCAGAGGGGAUAACACUUGGAAAAAGGUGCUAAACCGCUACUGGUGUAUGGACCCGCGGUGCAUUAGCGAGAUGGUGAGGUAACGGCCCACCAAGGCCACGAUGCAUAGCCGGUCUGAGAGGGUGAUCGGCCACACUGGAACUGAGACACGGUCCAGACUCCUACGGGAGGCAGCAGUGGGGAAUAUUCGGCAAUGGACGAAAGUCUGACCGAGCAACGCCGCGUGAGUGAAGAAGGUUUUCGGGUCGUAAAGCUCUGUUGUUGGGGAAGCGGUAUCUAACCAGAAAGCCACGGCUAACUACGUGCCAGCAGCCGCGGUAAUUC